This 301-nucleotide ribosomal RNA is filed under the name uncultured bacterium. RNAcentral describes it as "partial 16S ribosomal RNA". It matches the Rfam family "Bacterial small subunit ribosomal RNA", at positions 509 to 807 of the family's 1533-position model. The record is from RNAcentral.
CAGCAGCCGCGGUAAUACGGAGGGGGCUAGCGUUGUUCGGAAUUACUGGGCGUAAAGCGCACGUAGGCGGCUUUGUAAGUCAGAGGUGAAAGCCCGGGGCUCAACCCCGGAAUUGCCUUUGAGACUGCAUCGCUUGAAUCCAGGAGAGGUGAGUGGAAUUCCGAGUGUAGAGGUGAAAUUCGUAGAUAUUCGGAAGAACACCAGUGGCGAAGGCGGCUCACUGGACUGGUAUUGACGCUGAGGUGCGAAAGCGUGGGGAGCAAACAGGAUUAGAUACCCGCGUAGUCCCUGUCUCUUAUAC